This 454-nucleotide ribosomal RNA is filed under the name uncultured bacterium. RNAcentral describes it as "bacterial SSU rRNA". It matches the Rfam family "Bacterial small subunit ribosomal RNA", at positions 340 to 786 of the family's 1533-position model. The record is from RNAcentral.
UACGGGAGGCAACAGUGGGGAAUAUUGCACAAUGGGCGCAAGCCUGAUGCAGCCAUGCCGCGUGUAUGAAGAAGGCCUUCGGGUUGUAAAGUACUUUCAGUCGUGAGGAAGGUGUUAAGGUUAAUAACCUUAGCAAUUGACGUUAGCGACAGAAGAAGCACCGGCUAACUCCGUGCCAGCAGCCGCGGUAAUACGGAGGGUGCGAGCGUUAAUCGGAAUUACUGGGCGUAAAGGGCACGCAGGCGGUUAAUUAAGUUGGAUGUGAAAUCCCCGGGCUUAACCUGGGAAUGGCAUUCAAGACUGGUUAGCUAGAGUCUUGUAGAGGGGGUAGAAUUCCAUGUGUAGCGGUGAAAUGCGUAGAGAUGUGGAGGAAUACCGGUGGCGAAGGCGGCCCCUGGACAAAGACUGACGCUCAUGUGCGAAAGCGUGGGGAGCGAAACAGGGAUUAGAUACC